CUUGUUAUAACUUCAUUUCUUUUCCAAUUUAAUAAAAAAUGUUGACGGGUGUAAUUUUACUGCAACGCUAACAAGUUUCUCCGUUUAACCUUGCCGAAAUGAACUUUAUUCGCAGCAACUUAAACGAUUUCUCUUUGUGCAGGUGGCUCGAACUGGAAGAGUGGCACUGGUGCGAGAGUCAGGUGUUGAUUCAAGGUACCUCCGUGGGUAUUCUUACCCAUUGUAAUCAUGGAUUUCUCGAGUUCACAGCAUGAGGGAUGUUCGUUUUCUUUCUACAAGCUAGAUGCAUAUUUCGUGUUUGCCUCUGUUUGAAAAAACAAGCUAAACGCAUAGUUUUGUGUGCCUUUGUUUGAUGUUGGGAAACUACUCUACGUGGAUGUUGCUAGAAGUCACGUCGUUUGGAUAUAAGAUAUUUUGUCCAAUUUUGUUGUCUAUCCAAUAAAUUAUUGAUGUCAUCAAUUUGAUUGGUUAGUGGUGAAGUCAACUUGUAUGGCGUUCUUUGAAAAUUACAAUCCAAAAAGGUAGAGAACAUGUUUAUUGAACUGGAUCGGACACUAAAGUGCACAGGAUUUUGAUUUCUU
Molecule: long non-coding RNA, 581 nt
Filed under: Olea europaea subsp. europaea
Lineage: Eukaryota; Viridiplantae; Streptophyta; Magnoliopsida; Lamiales; Oleaceae
Source: RNAcentral